Long non-coding RNA from Clupea harengus (Atlantic herring), 1368 nucleotides. NCBI's taxonomy places the organism in Eukaryota, Metazoa, Chordata, Actinopteri, Clupeiformes, Clupeidae. The record is from Ensembl.
GUGUGUGUGUCUGAGUCUGUGUGUGUGUGUCUGAGUCUGUGUGUGUGUGUGUGUGUGUGUGUGUGUGUGUGUGCAUGCGUGCCAGAGUACUCAUGUCUGAAUGAGUGGAAAGCUUUUAGACGGCUCUUCCCUAAUCCAAACAUGCUCACUUACAGUCUCAGACACACACACAGAACGACACACACACACACACACACACACACACACACACACACACACACACACACACACUCACACACACACUCACACACGCACAGACACACACACACCCACUCACACACCUCCUUUGAGGCCUUGGGAGUGAGUAAUGAUGGCCUAAUCCAUCUUUGCCCACUAACACGCACGGCUCAAUAGCAGCAGCAGCGAAUAAAACACGCACUUAUGUAGAGUAGAGAGAGAGUGCAGUCAGACAGGUACUUGUGUGUGUAGAGUAGAGAGAGAGAGCAGUCAGACAGGUACUUGUGUGUGUAGAGUAGAGAGAGAGUGCAGUCAGACAGGUACUUGUGUGUGUAGAGUAGAGAGAGAGUGCAGACAGACAGGUACUUUUGUGUGUAGAGUAGAGAGAGAGGGCAGACAGACAGGUGAAUAAAACACGCACUUAGAGAGUAGAGAGUGCAGACAGUAUAUAAGUAGUAUAUAACCUGCAUGUAUACGUGUCAAGGUAUCUAAAUUAUAUAACCAGCAUGUAUACUGUACGUGCGACAAUGGUACAGGAGGUAGAGAAGUCGUUUAGUAAUCAGAAGGUUGCUAGUUCGAUUCCCUGUCGAAGCGUCCUUGAGAAAGACACUGAACCCCUAAUUGCUCCUGAUGUGCAGUGUGCCAUCAGUGUAAAUGUAAAAUGUAAAAUGUGUAUACAUUGUAAGUCGCACAUAUGUAAGUCACUUUGGAUAAAAGCGUCUGCUAAAUGACUAAAUGUAAAAUGUAAAUACGUGUCAAAGCAUCUAUAUAACCAGCAAGUAUACGUGUCAAGAGUCAAUCAGAAGCUAGAAUGUUAGAUUGAAGACAGCGAGAUAGAAGAAAGACGCUAGUUUGAAACCAGUGAGCUAAAGAACUUGAACAGACUGGAUUUGUUUUUGUUGUAAACUUUUUUUUUUUAUUUUCUUAAGUGUUUUGAGUUGUGUUCUGUCUACGCCGGUAGAAUGUGGUUAUUUUGACAUUAGUUAAGUUAUUGAGAGCUACUGAGAAAUCGCGUGGAGCUAAGCAUCCAUGAGGCUGCAUCCAUGCUAGCAUUCCUAGCUCCACAAAGCCACCGUAAACACUAAGCCACCGUAUACAGUCACAGGUAUCAUAAUCCAUAAAUUAGCCGCGUCAUUGUUUAAGCCGCGAGGUUCAAAGCGUGGGAAAAAAGUAGCGGCUUAUAGUCCGGAA